Molecule: ribosomal RNA, 867 nt
Filed under: uncultured bacterium
Lineage: Bacteria
Description: bacterial SSU rRNA
Rfam family: Bacterial small subunit ribosomal RNA (bases 1-465)
Source: RNAcentral
UUCAACUCUACCGGCGAACGGGUGAGUAACACGUGGGCAAUCUGCCCUGAAGACGGGGACAACCUCGGGAAACCGGGGCUAAUACCCGAUAUCCUCCUCGGGGGGCAUCCUCUGGAGAGGAAAGGGUCCGCAAGGUCCGCUUCAGGAUGAGCCCGCGGCCUAUCAGCUAGUUGGUGGGGUCACGGCCUACCAAGGCGAUGACGGGUAGGUGGUCUGAGAGGACGAUCACCCACACUGGGACUGAGACACGGCCCAGACUCCUACGGGAGGCAGCAGUUGGGAAUAUUGGGCAAUGGGCGCAAGCCUGACCCAGCGACACCGCGUGGGGGACGAAGGCCUUCGGGUCGUAAACCCCUGUCAGGGGGGAAGAAGCCCGCCGCAAGGCGGGUGACGGUACCUCCAGAGGAAGCCCCGGCUAACUACGUGCCAGCAGCCGCGGUAAGACGUAGGGGGCGAGCGUUGUCCGGAUCUUUGGGCGUAAAGCGGGUGCAGGCGGUCCGUUAAGUCUCCCCCAAAGCGUCCGGCCCAUCAGGAGAACGCCCAGGGAGCAAUAUUGCCAAGAGGGCCCUAGAGUAGGAGUGAAUUCCCGGUGUCAGUCCCAGUGUGGUAGAUCGUCGGAGGAAGACCACCUACCCGUCAUCGCCUUGGUAGGCCGUGACCCCACCAACUAGCUGAUAGGCCGCGGGCUCAUCCUGAAGCGGACCUUGCGGACCCCUUCCUCUCCAGAGGAUCCCCCCCGAGGAGGAUAUCGGGUAUUAGCCCCGGUUUCCCGAGCUUGUCCCCGUCUUCAGGGCAGAUUGCCCACGUGUUACUCACCCGUUCGCCGGUAGAGUGAAGUCUAGCAAGCUAGACACCAACCCUCCCUCG